GCGGCCUAUCAGCUUGUUGGUGAGGUAAUGGCCCACCAAGGCAACGACGGGUAGCUGGUCUGAGAGGAUGGUCAGCCACACUGGGACUGAGACACGGCCCAGACUCCUACGGGAGGCAGCAGUGGGGAAUCUUGCGCAAUGGGCGAAAGCCUGACGCAGCAACGCCGCGUGCGGGAAGAAGGCUUUCGGGCUGUAAACCGCUUUCAGCAGGAACGAAAAUGACGGUACCUGCAGAAGAAGGAGCGGCCAACUAUGUGCCAGCAGCCGCGGUGAUACAUAGGCUUCAAGCGUUGUCCGGAUUUAUUGGGCGUAAAGAGCUCGUAGGCGGUUUAGUAAGUCGGGUGUUAAAACUCUGGGCUCAACCCGGAGACGCCAUCCGAUACUACUAUGACUUGAGUUCAGGAGGGGAGACUGGAAUUCCU
This 422-nucleotide ribosomal RNA is filed under the name uncultured Actinomycetes bacterium. RNAcentral's name for it is "bacterial SSU rRNA". It matches the Rfam family "Bacterial small subunit ribosomal RNA", at positions 233 to 671 of the family's 1533-position model. The record is from RNAcentral. Lineage: Bacteria; Bacillati; Actinomycetota; Actinomycetes.